This 192-nucleotide unclassified non-coding RNA is filed under the name Arabidopsis thaliana (thale cress). The record is from RNAcentral. Lineage: Eukaryota; Viridiplantae; Streptophyta; Magnoliopsida; Brassicales; Brassicaceae.
CUGUAACAACAAAAAUGGAGACGACACAACUUGGAAGAGAAAUCAACUCGAAAUAGCCAAGAGAAUGUUCGAAAACCCCCUCAAAUCCGAUGCUUCCUUUGAUUCCAACCUCCAAAAGCCCAUCUGCUCAAAUCUUCAUUUCGAGGACGAGGACUCGAGGAGUAUUACAAGGAACAAAGGAUAGUGAAAGCU